GAUUUCUGGCGGGGACGGCUGGUGGGGCCCGUGAGGGUCUCUACUGACGCCUGGUUCCCGUCAUCCUCGGGGAGAGCGGCCCUGGCAUUAAGUUGUUGGGGUCGGGAUCCUCGUCUUUUACUGUGAAAAAAUUAGAGUGUUCAAAGCAGGCUUAGGCCCUGAAUACAUUAGCAUGGAAUAAUAAGAUAUGACCUUGGUGGUCUAUUUUGUUGGUUUGCACGCCAAGGUAAUGAUUAAUAGGGAUAGUUGGGGGUAUUCGUAUUCAAUUGUCAGAGGUGAAAUUCUUGGAUUUAUGGAAGACGAACUACUGCGAAAGCAUU
This 320-nucleotide ribosomal RNA is filed under the name uncultured Cercozoa. Its description in RNAcentral is "SSU rRNA". The stretch from base 102 to 320 matches the Rfam family "Eukaryotic small subunit ribosomal RNA", at positions 736 to 955 of the family's 1831-position model. The record is from RNAcentral. Lineage: Eukaryota; Cercozoa.